AACGUAGGACGCAAGCGUUAUCCGGAGUUACUGGGCGUAAAGCGCGGGCAGGCGGUCUGAUGCGUCCGAGGUGAAAUCUCCCGGCUCAACUGGGAGGGGUCUUCGGAUACGGGCGGACUUGAGGAGAGCAGAGGUAGGCGGAAUGCUGGGUGUAGUGGUGAAAUGCGUAGAUAUCCAGCGGAACACCAGUGGCGAAGGCGGCCUACUGGGCUCCACCUGACACUGAGGCGCGAAAGCGUGGGGAGCGAACCGG
This 253-nucleotide ribosomal RNA is filed under the name uncultured bacterium. RNAcentral describes it as "partial 16S ribosomal RNA". It matches the Rfam family "Bacterial small subunit ribosomal RNA", at positions 524 to 776 of the family's 1533-position model. The record is from RNAcentral.